GACGAACGCUGGCGGCGUGCUUAACACGUGCAAGUCGAGCGGUAAGGCCCUUUCGGGGGUACACGAGCGGCGAACGGGUGAGUAACACGUGGGUGACCUGCCCUUAGCUCUGGGAUAAGCCUGGGAAACUGGGUCUAAUACCGGAUAUGACUCCAUGACGCAUGUUGUGGGGUGGAAAGCCUUGUGCGGCUAGGGAUGGGCCCGCGGCCUAUCAGCUUGUUGGUGGGGUGAUGGCCUACCAAGGCGACGACGGGUAGCCGGCCUGAGAGGGCGACCGGCCACACUGGGACUGAGACACGGCCCAGACUCCUACGGGAGGCAGCAGUGGGAAUCUUGCGCAAUGGGCGAAAGCCUGACGCAGCGACGCCGCGUGGGGAUGACGGCCU
This 386-nucleotide ribosomal RNA is filed under the name uncultured bacterium. RNAcentral describes it as "bacterial SSU rRNA". It matches the Rfam family "Bacterial small subunit ribosomal RNA", at positions 28 to 417 of the family's 1533-position model. The record is from RNAcentral.